RNAcentral lists this ribosomal RNA (1557 nucleotides) under Enterococcus faecium. RNAcentral describes it as "bacterial SSU rRNA". It matches the Rfam family "Bacterial small subunit ribosomal RNA". Lineage: Bacteria; Bacillati; Bacillota; Bacilli; Lactobacillales; Enterococcaceae. The record is from RNAcentral.
UAUGAGAGUUUGAUCCUGGCUCAGGACGAACGCUGGCGGCGUGCCUAAUACAUGCAAGUCGAACGCUUCUUUUUCCACCGGAGCUUGCUCCACCGGAAAAAGAGGAGUGGCGAACGGGUGAGUAACACGUGGGUAACCUGCCCAUCAGAAGGGGAUAACACUUGGAAACAGGUGCUAAUACCGUAUAACAAUCGAAACCGCAUGGUUUUGAUUUGAAAGGCGCUUUCGGGUGUCGCUGAUGGAUGGACCCGCGGUGCAUUAGCUAGUUGGUGAGGUAACGGCUCACCAAGGCCACGAUGCAUAGCCGACCUGAGAGGGUGAUCGGCCACAUUGGGACUGAGACACGGCCCAAACUCCUACGGGAGGCAGCAGUAGGGAAUCUUCGGCAAUGGACGAAAGUCUGACCGAGCAACGCCGCGUGAGUGAAGAAGGUUUUCGGAUCGUAAAACUCUGUUGUUAGAGAAGAACAAGGAUGAGAGUAACUGUUCAUCCCUUGACGGUAUCUAACCAGAAAGCCACGGCUAACUACGUGCCAGCAGCCGCGGUAAUACGUAGGUGGCAAGCGUUGUCCGGAUUUAUUGGGCGUAAAGCGAGCGCAGGCGGUUUCUUAAGUCUGAUGUGAAAGCCCCCGGCUCAACCGGGGAGGGUCAUUGGAAACUGGGAGACUUGAGUGCAGAAGAGGAGAGUGGAAUUCCAUGUGUAGCGGUGAAAUGCGUAGAUAUAUGGAGGAACACCAGUGGCGAAGGCGGCUCUCUGGUCUGUAACUGACGCUGAGGCUCGAAAGCGUGGGGAGCAAACAGGAUUAGAUACCCUGGUAGUCCACGCCGUAAACGAUGAGUGCUAAGUGUUGGAGGGUUUCCGCCCUUCAGUGCUGCAGCUAACGCAUUAAGCACUCCGCCUGGGGAGUACGACCGCAAGGUUGAAACUCAAAGGAAUUGACGGGGGCCCGCACAAGCGGUGGAGCAUGUGGUUUAAUUCGAAGCAACGCGAAGAACCUUACCAGGUCUUGACAUCCUUUGACCACUCUAGAGAUAGAGCUUCCCCUUCGGGGGCAAAGUGACAGGUGGUGCAUGGUUGUCGUCAGCUCGUGUCGUGAGAUGUUGGGUUAAGUCCCGCAACGAGCGCAACCCUUAUUGUUAGUUGCCAUCAUUCAGUUGGGCACUCUAGCAAGACUGCCGGUGACAAACCGGAGGAAGGUGGGGAUGACGUCAAAUCAUCAUGCCCCUUAUGACCUGGGCUACACACGUGCUACAAUGGGAAGUACAACGAGUCGCGAAGUCGCGAGGCUAAGCUAAUCUCUUAAAGCUUCUCUCAGUUCGGAUUGCAGGCUGCAACUCGCCUGCAUGAAGCCGGAAUCGCUAGUAAUCGCGGAUCAGCACGCCGCGGUGAAUACGUUCCCGGGCCUUGUACACACCGCCCGUCACACCACGAGAGUUUGUAACUUACCGAAGCUGUGGAGUACACCUUUAGGUGUAUUGGUAGGAGAGCGUUCUAAGGGCGUCGAAGGAGUCGUAACAAGGUAGCCGUAUCGGAAGGUGCGGCUGGAUCACCUCCUUU